CUUGGUCAUUUAGAGGAAGUAAAAGUCGUAACAAGGUUUCCGUAGGUGAACCUGCGGAAGGAUUGGCUUCUGACGCCUUCGUGGCUGGAUGUUGUUGUGCAAGGCCCUUCUGGGCAUGUGCACACCUCUGGUCACUUGUUUCUUUUGUUCCACCUGUGCACCGCCUGUAGGCACACUCGGUGUCUAUGAUAUGUUACAUACACACAUAUACAGAUGUUGGGCAUAUUACAUAUAUAUAAUAAAGUACAACUUUCAACAAUGGAUCUCUUGGCUCUCGCAUCGAUGAAGGACACAGCGAAAUGUGAUAAGUAAUGUGAAUUGCAGAAUCCAGUGAAUCAUCGAAUCUUUGAACGCAUCUUGCGCUCCUUGGCAUUCCAAGGAGCAUGCCUGUUUGAGUGUCGUUAAACUAUCAAAACACUUUUCUUUGGGUGUUUUGGACUUUGGGAGUAAUCUUGCUGGUCUUGUUUGAGCCAGCUCUCCUCAAAAGCAUUAGCUUUGGAGACCAUCAGUGUGAUAAUUGGUUUACACUGACUCGAGUGUCUCAGCUUCUCAUUUGAAAUGCCCCUUUGACCUCAAAUCAGGUAGGACUACCCGCUGAACUUAAGCAUAUCAAUAAGCGGAGGAA
RNAcentral lists this ribosomal RNA (625 nucleotides) under Amanita vaginata. Its description in RNAcentral is "eukaryotic LSU rRNA". The stretch from base 248 to 401 matches the Rfam family "5.8S ribosomal RNA". Lineage: Eukaryota; Fungi; Basidiomycota; Agaricomycetes; Agaricales; Amanitaceae. The record is from RNAcentral.